Molecule: RNA transcript, 1523 nt
Organism: Rosa rugosa (rugosa rose)
Lineage: Eukaryota; Viridiplantae; Streptophyta; Magnoliopsida; Rosales; Rosaceae
Exons: 7
Source: RefSeq, a predicted model, not a curated record
CGCAUUUCAGUUUCAGUUUCUCGCUUUAUUGCCUCUCUCUCUUCUCUGCCGUUUCUUUCUUCUCUCAUUUAACUCUGCUUCGACCAAACACAACACCAACAAAUUCAAACUCUGCUUCGCCGAGAGGUCUCCGACGUUCAGAUUUUAAUUUUUUGUGCCAUGAUGUUUGUAUGGGAGGUUUGCUGUAUAUGCUGAUCUCCACCGGCGUGGUGGCCAUGUCCGUUGCACUGAAGAUCUCGGUUCCGCUGGCCGCAGACCUCGAGCAAGGGCAAGGAUGAAUGGACUAUCACUUCUUCAUGAUGCCACUGCUGUUAUUUUCAUCAAUGUAACCUGGGCAUUGACAACUGCUUCUGGGAAGCAGAUUUGCAUAUGGCUUGGCCGAUUCUUUUAGCAAGGCUAAUGCAAUUAUUACAGAGGUAGUUUUGUUUCUUCGAUUUAUAUUCUUUAGUCCCUUACUCUCCCAAAUGGUUCUGGAACAUCUUAUAUUGAUGCAUGAACUUGGAACAUGUUGGUUUGGAGAUGACUUUGGAAGGUAUUGGACCUGCAAUUAAUUUUUGAAAAGAUGUGGCAAUAAAUUUCAGAGUGGGAACCGUUCCCUUAUGAAAAUUGCUCUGUCUUGUUAGGGAAUUUACAGCAAUUGUUCUUGUCACCUUUAACUUUGACUGCUAUUAUAAACUUAGGUUAAAGAAAUGGAAGAACUCAGGCAAGGUUACAGCAUUGUUUGUCUCUCCCAGGUAAUUGUAAGAACCUUUUUUUGUGGUUACUGUUUUGAAAGUAGGAACUAUGCUAUUCAAUCUAUUUGUUUGAACAAUUAUGAGGACAAGUUUGACGAUAGGUAGCAAGAAUUUGACUAAAGAAUAUUGAUGAUGCUAUGCCCUGUUGUUUAGUCUUGUUGCAAGAUGACGAGGAUUUCACUAGGUCUGGCAAGUCCUGGGGUUUGCUUUUAUGUGAUACAAAUAUGCAGUUGAGGCACAGAAAGCAGUUGAGUGGCUUGAUGGUAUGCUAAUCGAUUUAUUAUCAUUACUUUAUUAUCUGCUGUGAAAAUGCGUGGCCUUUUUGAAAGGCUUCGGAGCUAUGUUAAUGCCCAGGGAAUGACUGGUUUUGUUGAGUCUUUGCACAGUUUAGCACAAUCUCUGGGAAAGUUUGUGGUCCAAAUGUAGAUACAGACCCCAAUCUUCAACAUGUCAAGGUCCAUUGGCAGCUACACCAAAGACUGGAAACUCUAAGUUACAAGUAAUUUUAUCUUAUUUUGGAGACUUCAAUCUUGUUCUUUUCUUUUGUUGUUGUAUAUGGAGAAGUUUAGGCAUGGUUAAUGCGCAGUUGAAGGCAUUUUUGUUUUGGUAUUUUGAUGAGCCUCCUGCUAGCUAGUUUUAGUUUUUGCUUUAGUUAUAGGCAUGGUUAAUGCAAUGUGGACGCGUUUAUGUUUUCCGGCUUUAUGCAGUUAUAGCCACUUAGGCAAUGUUAAUUCUUAUGUAAAUGUUGGGAUGAAUAUUGUUGAUGAAUGAAAUGGCUUUUGGAAUCAA